RNAcentral lists this transfer RNA (77 nucleotides) under Martinezella rhizogenes. RNAcentral's name for it is "Rhizobium rhizogenes tRNA-Arg". It matches the Rfam family "tRNA". From Rfam's summary of the family: Transfer RNA (tRNA) molecules are approximately 80 nucleotides in length. Their secondary structure includes four short double-helical elements and three loops (D, anti-codon, and T loops). Lineage: Bacteria; Pseudomonadati; Pseudomonadota; Alphaproteobacteria; Hyphomicrobiales; Rhizobiaceae. The record is from RNAcentral. RNAcentral also lists the same sequence under 47 other names.
GGUCUCGUAGCUCAGCAGGAUAGAGCAUCAGAUUCCUAAUCUGAGGGUCACGCGUUCGAAUCGCGUCGAGAUCACCA